Molecule: transfer RNA, 91 nt
Filed under: Clostridium sp.
Lineage: Bacteria; Bacillati; Bacillota; Clostridia; Eubacteriales; Clostridiaceae
Also listed under: 1 other name
Description: tRNA-Ser
Rfam family: tRNA
About the family: Transfer RNA (tRNA) molecules are approximately 80 nucleotides in length.
Source: RNAcentral
GGAGAGAUGUCUGAGUGGUUGAAGGAGCACGCCUGGAACGCGUGUAUAGGGGUUUACUCUAUCGUGGGUUCAAAUCCCACUUUCUCCGCCA